UAGUCCACGCCCUAAACGAUGCUAACUCGAUAUUUGGGCAGUAAGCACUGAGUAUCCAAGGGAAACCGUUAAGUUAGCCACCUGGGGAGUACGUUCGCAAGAAUGAAACUCAAAGGAAUUGACGGGGGUCCGCACAAGCGGUGGGGCAUGUGGUUUAAUUCGAUGAUACGCGAGGAACCUUACCUGGGCCCUAAUGCGCGCGCUAUCUGCUGAAAGGCGGAGUUCCUUCGGGACGCAAAGCAAGGUGCUGCAUGGUUGUCGUCAGCUCGUGCCGUGAGGUGUUGGGUUAAGUCCCGGCAACGAGCGCAACCCCUAUUGUUAGUUGCCCAGCAUUAAGUUGGGGACUCUAACAAGACUGCCGGCGCAAGCCGAGAGGAAGGUGGGGAUGACGUCAAAUCAUCAUGGCCUUUAUGCCCAGGGCUACACACGUGCUACAAUGGUACAUACAAAGGGUAGCGAAGCCGCGAGGUGGAGCCAAUCCCAGAAAGUGUAUCCCAGUUCGGA
RNAcentral lists this ribosomal RNA (504 nucleotides) under uncultured bacterium. RNAcentral's name for it is "bacterial SSU rRNA". It matches the Rfam family "Bacterial small subunit ribosomal RNA", at positions 791 to 1297 of the family's 1533-position model. The record is from RNAcentral.